Molecule: ribosomal RNA, 468 nt
Filed under: uncultured bacterium
Lineage: Bacteria
Description: partial 16S ribosomal RNA
Rfam family: Bacterial small subunit ribosomal RNA
Source: RNAcentral
GAUGAACGCUGACAGAAUGCUUAACACAUGCAAGUCUACUUGAAUUUGGGUUUUUUAACUUAGAUUUGGGUGGCGGACGGGUGAGUAACGCGUAAAGAACUUGCCUCACAGCUAGGGACAACAUUUGGAAACGAUUGCUAAUACCUGAUAUUAUGAUUAUAAGGCAUCUUAGAAUUAUGAAAGCUAUAUGCGCUGUGAGAGAGCUUUGCGUCCCAUUAGCUAGUUGGAGAGGUAACGGCUCACCAAGGCGAUGAUGGGUAGCCGGCCUGAGAGGGUGAACGGCCACAAGGGGACUGAGACACGGCCCUUACUCCUACGGGAGGCAGCAGUGGGGAAUAUUGGACAAUGGACCAAGAGUCUGAUCCAGCAAUUCUGUGUGCACGAUGACGUUUUUCGGAAUGUAAAGUGCUUUCAGUUGGGAAGAAAAAAAUGACGGUACCAACAGAAGAAGUGACGGCUAAAUACGUG